UUCCAUCAGCGUGUGCAGUCCACCUGACCCCAGCUUUUCUGUUUAGGCGUCUGUCACUGUCCUUCACUGUCUUCACUCCUUCCUUGCCUCUAGUCAGGCUUCCAAGCACCAAGCCACAUAGUGCAGACCGAGGAAACACGAAUAGGCCCUGGACCGUUGUCUGGACAGCUUUGUAACCUAGGAAGACCUUGAACUCCUGAUCCUCCAGUCUCCACCUCUAGAGUACUAAAUUUCAGGGCUCCCGGAGCUGGGAGAAAACGUACCACCGCCAUGUUGGGAAGCUGAAGUGGGUGGAGCCAGCAGCCACAGC
Long non-coding RNA from Peromyscus leucopus (white-footed mouse), 310 nucleotides. RefSeq lists it as uncharacterized. The record is from RefSeq and is a predicted model, not a curated record. The transcript is spliced from 3 exons. Lineage: Eukaryota; Metazoa; Chordata; Mammalia; Rodentia; Cricetidae.